Long non-coding RNA from Rosa chinensis, 215 nucleotides. RefSeq lists it as uncharacterized. Lineage: Eukaryota; Viridiplantae; Streptophyta; Magnoliopsida; Rosales; Rosaceae. The record is from RefSeq and is a predicted model, not a curated record. The transcript has 3 exons.
AUUUUGCCUGUGAAGUAUGGCUAUAAUUCAUAAUUCUCGGUUCUACUUCUUUUUGGAAGUAUCUGAUUUACACCGACAUCAAGACAAAAAGAAAAAGAGGAAGAGGAGGAGGGAGAAGAAGAAGAAGAGUUAGACGGGAACAACUUGAUGCUCGAUUCGAACAGAAACGAUCCCAGGGGUAUUGUUCCUGCUGCAGUUUGGGGUUUUGAGUGAUU